CGUGAGUCAACCCAAAUUCAAUGCCACGAGAGAGUUUUGUAUGCAAGUGCUAGUCGCCCCGCAGCGUUACAAGGGCACAAUUUUUUCCGAGGAGGGACCAACACGGCUAUGUUUAUUGACCUGCACUGCGUAAGCAAAUGCUAGUCGCCCCGCAGCGUUACAAGGGCACAAGUUUUUCCGAGAAGGGACGUGCACGGGUUUCUUACUAGCUACGCUAGCCGCCCCACCGUACAUGGGCGGCGUGAGAAAGAGGCAGAAAUUUUGCUUUACCGUGACCAAGACAGUGUUUGGCCAAGACGAGGCAUGAACAAACGUUGAACUGCAUGUUUGGCCUGUGCCUGCCCAAGUCACGAACGGCAAGACGACCCCCUCUUUCCCACGCUGGUGGCUGGGCCUUCCGACGGGACGUGGAAAAUAUGAAUCAAUCCUACUCUUCCAUGACAACGACAAAGUUUGGCCAAGACGAGGCAUGAACAAAUGUUGAACUGCAUGUUUGGCCUGUGCUUGCCCAAAGUCAAGAACAGCAAGAUUUCCCCCUAUUUCCCACCAAAUCUGCCCGAAAUUCAUCAAAAUGAUCCGAAUUUAUCAAAAUCUUUUGAUGAAAGCAGCUCAAAUUGAUGAAUUUGGGGCAGAUUUGGGGGGAGCAGCUUGUUUUUUGGUGGCUGGGGGCUGCCUGGGCGCGCCCCAGACAGUCCCCCAGCCAUGCCCAGCCAUGCCCCAACAAGGUGCUCCCCCUAUAUAUGCUUGAUGUGCCAUUUCCAAUUUUGUAGAAAAAAGGGUGAAUUUUCCCUGCAGGCAUAAAGUCCCGAAAAAGUGACUCAGAGGUUGAAUUUGUCCGCGAUUUUUUUGCAGGCAUGUUAGGGACAUAAAAACAACAUCUCCCACAAAAAAAUUAGAAUUUUCCGACGAGGGACGGAUUAAAUAUGAAUUUUUUACGCGCCAAAAAGUAAAGAAAGCGUGACAUCAAAACAUCGACCUAGAAAUCGAAUUUUGAGCUGAUUUUUUGCAGGCACCUCAAUAAAAAUACAUCUAGAGGAUCUGCAAAGUUGCGUAGAAAACCGACAACGUUUCGAUUUAUUUUGAUUUUUCGACCGAAACGC
This 1100-nucleotide long non-coding RNA is filed under the name Medicago truncatula (barrel medic). RNAcentral's name for it is "lncRNA gene50663". Lineage: Eukaryota; Viridiplantae; Streptophyta; Magnoliopsida; Fabales; Fabaceae. The record is from RNAcentral.